Long non-coding RNA from Micropterus salmoides (largemouth bass), 596 nucleotides. RefSeq lists it as uncharacterized. The transcript is spliced from 3 exons. NCBI's taxonomy places the organism in Eukaryota, Metazoa, Chordata, Actinopteri, Centrarchiformes, Centrarchidae. The record is from RefSeq and is a predicted model, not a curated record.
UCCUUCUGUCUCCAGCAGCUUCUGAUGUGGUACGAGUGAAACCUGGAGAUGAUGUCAUUCUGCCAUGUCAGGCUGGUAACGUCUCCAUCAGAGGCGUAGAGUGGACCAGAACUGACCUGGAGCCAGAGUACGUCCUCCUUUACAGAGAUGGACGCUCAGAUGAAACCCUCCAGCAUCCAUCCUUUAAGGACCAGGUGCAGCUGCUGGACAGAGAGCUGAAGGACGGAAACGUGUCUUUACUUCUGAAGAACGUGAGCAGGAACAACGCUGGAACAUACGAGUGCCGAGUUGCAACAGAAGGAUCAAGACGUAAGAGAGCCAUCAUCAAGACUAAGCCAAUCAGAAUCAUCCAGCUGGAGGUUUCAGGGUCCAACAGCGGAGACGUCGAGGAGGGAAACUACUGUCUUACUGCAGACUGGGCAGCUUUUGUUCUGGUUUGUUUAGCUGCUGCUGUUGGAUUGGCUGUUGGUUGGAAAUAUAAAAGAAAUGCAGACAAGAAACCAGAACAGCGCUGCUGAUGAAGCAGUGAACGACCAGUUACUCUGACUUGUCACAGACUCUUUCCACUUGUCAAUAUGUGUUUCAUACAUUCAACA